RNAcentral lists this ribosomal RNA (116 nucleotides) under Pteropus alecto (black flying fox). Lineage: Eukaryota; Metazoa; Chordata; Mammalia; Chiroptera; Pteropodidae. The record is from RNAcentral.
GUCUAUGGCCAUGUCACCUUGAACAAGCCUGAUGUCUGAUCUCGGAACCUAAGCAGGGUCGGGCCUGGUUAGUACGUGGAUGGGAGACCACCUAGGAAGACUAGAUGCUGUAGGCA